RNAcentral lists this ribosomal RNA (2928 nucleotides) under Salmonella enterica subsp. enterica serovar Hvittingfoss str. SA20014981. RNAcentral describes it as "bacterial LSU rRNA". It matches the Rfam family "Bacterial large subunit ribosomal RNA". Lineage: Bacteria; Pseudomonadati; Pseudomonadota; Gammaproteobacteria; Enterobacterales; Enterobacteriaceae. The record is from RNAcentral.
GGGUUGUGAGGUUAAGCGACUAAGCGUACACGGUGGAUGCCCUGGCAGUCAGAGGCGAUGAAGGACGUGCUAAUCUGCGAUAAGCGCCGGUAAGGUGAUAUGAACCGUUAUAACCGGCGAUUUCCGAAUGGGGAAACCCAGUGUGAUUCGUCACACUAUCAUUAACUGAAUCCAUAGGUUAAUGAGGCGAACCGGGGGAACUGAAACAUCUAAGUACCCCGAGGAAAAGAAAUCAACCGAGAUUCCCCCAGUAGCGGCGAGCGAACGGGGAGGAGCCCAGAGCCUGAAUCAGCAUGUGUGUUAGUGGAAGCGUCUGGAAAGGCGCGCGAUACAGGGUGACAGCCCCGUACACAAAAGCGCAUAUGCUGUGAGCUCGAUGAGUAGGGCGGGACACGUGGUAUCCUGUCUGAAUAUGGGGGGACCAUCCUCCAAGGCUAAAUACUCCUGACUGACCGAUAGUGAACCAGUACCGUGAGGGAAAGGCGAAAAGAACCCCGGCGAGGGGAGUGAAAAAGAACCUGAAACCGUGUACGUACAAGCAGUGGGAGCACAGGUUUACCUGUGUGACUGCGUACCUUUUGUAUAAUGGGUCAGCGACUUAUAUUCUGUAGCAAGGUUAACCGUAUAGGGGAGCCGUAGGGAAACCGAGUCUUAACCGGGCGUUAAGUUGCAGGGUAUAGACCCGAAACCCGGUGAUCUAGCCAUGGGCAGGUUGAAGGUUGGGUAACACUAACUGGAGGACCGAACCGACUAAUGUUGAAAAAUUAGCGGAUGACCUGUGGCUGGGGGUGAAAGGCCAAUCAAACCGGGAGAUAGCUGGUUCUCCCCGAAAGCUAUUUAGGUAGCGCCUCGUGAAUUCAUCUCCGGGGGUAGAGCACUGUUUCGGCUAGGGGGCCAUCCCGGCUUACCAACCCGAUGCAAACUGCGAAUACCGGAGAAUGUUAUCACGGGAGACACACGGCGGGUGCUAACGUCCGUCGUGAAGAGGGAAACAACCCAGACCGCCAGCUAAGGUCCCAAAGUCAUGGUUAAGUGGGAAACGAUGUGGGAAGGCCCAGACAGCCAGGAUGUUGGCUUAGAAGCAGCCAUCAUUUAAAGAAAGCGUAAUAGCUCACUGGUCGAGUCGGCCUGCGCGGAAGAUGUAACGGGGCUAAACCAUGCACCGAAGCUGCGGCAGCGACACUGUGUGUUGUUGGGUAGGGGAGCGUUCUGUAAGCCUGUGAAGGUGGCCUGUGAGGGUUGCUGGAGGUAUCAGAAGUGCGAAUGCUGACAUAAGUAACGAUAAAGCGGGUGAAAAGCCCGCUCGCCGGAAGACCAAGGGUUCCUGUCCAACGUUAAUCGGGGCAGGGUGAGUCGACCCCUAAGGCGAGGCCGAAAGGCGUAGUCGAUGGGAAACGGGUUAAUAUUCCCGUACUUGGUGUUACUGCGAAGGGGGGACGGAGAAGGCUAUGUUGGCCGGGCGACGGUUGUCCCGGUUUAAGCGUGUAGGUGUGUGUUCCAGGUAAAUCCGGUUCACUUUAACACUGAGGCGUGAUGACGAGGCACUACGGUGCUGAAGCAACAAAUGCCCUGCUUCCAGGAAAAGCCUCUAAGCAUCAGGUAACAUCAAAUCGUACCCCAAACCGACACAGGUGGUCAGGUAGAGAAUACCAAGGCGCUUGAGAGAACUCGGGUGAAGGAACUAGGCAAAAUGGUGCCGUAACUUCGGGAGAAGGCACGCUGACACGUAGGUGAAGUGAUUUACUCACGGAGCUGAAGUCAGUCGAAGAUACCAGCUGGCUGCAACUGUUUAUUAAAAACACAGCACUGUGCAAACACGAAAGUGGACGUAUACGGUGUGACGCCUGCCCGGUGCCGGAAGGUUAAUUGAUGGGGUCAGCGCAAGCGAAGCUCCUGAUCGAAGCCCCGGUAAACGGCGGCCGUAACUAUAACGGUCCUAAGGUAGCGAAAUUCCUUGUCGGGUAAGUUCCGACCUGCACGAAUGGCGUAAUGAUGGCCAGGCUGUCUCCACCCGAGACUCAGUGAAAUUGAACUCGCUGUGAAGAUGCAGUGUACCCGCGGCAAGACGGAAAGACCCCGUGAACCUUUACUAUAGCUUGACACUGAACAUUGAGCCUUGAUGUGUAGGAUAGGUGGGAGGCUUUGAAGCGUGGACGCCAGUCUGCGUGGAGCCGACCUUGAAAUACCACCCUUUAAUGUUUGAUGUUCUAACGUGGACCCGUAAUCCGGGUUGCGGACAGUGUCUGGUGGGUAGUUUGACUGGGGCGGUCUCCUCCUAAAGAGUAACGGAGGAGCACGAAGGUUGGCUAAUCCUGGUCGGACAUCAGGAGGUUAGUGCAAUGGCAUAAGCCAGCUUGACUGCGAGCGUGACGGCGCGAGCAGGUGCGAAAGCAGGUCAUAGUGAUCCGGUGGUUCUGAAUGGAAGGGCCAUCGCUCAACGGAUAAAAGGUACUCCGGGGAUAACAGGCUGAUACCGCCCAAGAGUUCAUAUCGACGGCGGUGUUUGGCACCUCGAUGUCGGCUCAUCACAUCCUGGGGCUGAAGUAGGUCCCAAGGGUAUGGCUGUUCGCCAUUUAAAGUGGUACGCGAGCUGGGUUUAGAACGUCGUGAGACAGUUCGGUCCCUAUCUGCCGUGGGCGCUGGAGAACUGAGGGGGGCUGCUCCUAGUACGAGAGGACCGGAGUGGACGCAUCACUGGUGUUCGGGUUGUCAUGCCAAUGGCACUGCCCGGUAGCUAAAUGCGGAAGAGAUAAGUGCUGAAAGCAUCUAAGCACGAAACUUGCCCCGAGAUGAGUUCUCCCUGAGACUUAGAGUCUCCUGAAGGAACGUUGAAGACGACGACGUUGAUAGGCCGGGUGUGUAAGCGCAGCGAUGCGUUGAGCUAACCGGUACUAAUGAACCGUGAGGCUUAACCUUACAACGCCGAAG